CGGCACCUUCGUUCUCCUCGAACCCUAGCCCGUCCGUGCACGCCGCCGCCCCAAUCCCCGCCGCCGCCACCUACUACGCUCGCCGCCGGCGCCGGAUCUCCGCAGGCCGUUGCUCCCCCGCCGCUCCCUGCAGUCCGCCGGCCCCGUGCGCCGCCGGCCGCCGCUCCCUGCAGUCCGCCGGCCACCCAACCCGGCGCGCAGCGCCCCUCCACCGGCCACACGCGCGACCGCUGGCCAGUGCCGCCUGCGCGCGUCCGUCAACGUUUGCUCGCUCGUGGUGGCGGCGCCAUCCCGACGUGCCGCCGUCGAAGAAGACGGCAUUUUUUUUUUGGAAUGUCGGAACUUUCGUUUGAAGAAUGUUGAGUUCACUGUUUAAAGAUGUUGAAAUAGGUAGUACAAAAUGUUGAAUAUGGAUUUUUUUUUUCAAAAUGUUGAUGUAUGUCUCAGAAAAUGUUGAAUCUGAUAUUUCUUUAUGCUGGAUUAACUUUUUGAAAUUGUUGAAUCUAAUACUCCUAUGUUGAUAUAUUUAUUUAGAUUUCAAAUUGGG
RNAcentral lists this long non-coding RNA (547 nucleotides) under Setaria italica (foxtail millet). RNAcentral's name for it is "long non-coding RNA (SITA_LNC005402)". Lineage: Eukaryota; Viridiplantae; Streptophyta; Magnoliopsida; Poales; Poaceae. The record is from RNAcentral.